This is a small nuclear RNA of Dipodomys ordii (Ord's kangaroo rat), 105 nucleotides long. Lineage: Eukaryota; Metazoa; Chordata; Mammalia; Rodentia; Heteromyidae. The record is from Ensembl.
GUACAUCUCAUUGUUGCAAUGGGAGAAUUGGAUUUUUUAUAGAGAAGAUUAGCAUGGCCCCUGAGCAAGAACUGAAUGAAAAUUCAUGAAAUUUCCUGUAUUUGA